UUCCUGUUUUACAGAUUAGCAUUCAGAAUAUUAGGUAAUUUUCUCAAGGUAACUCCACUGUUGGUAGAAGACACUUCUAGGGAGUUUAAUAGGUUGGUUUUUCCAACAAAUGUCCUUCUGGAAAUAUAACUUACAGGCAAGCAUGCUUAUGGAGACUUUUGUCCGUGACUUUAAUACAAAUUUUAGAACAUAAAUCUGCUGGGAUUACAACAUACCUGUUGUAGAAUGAUAUAUGAAACAUUACCUGUUUAUUUCUUCAAUGUAUAAUCUCAAAUACUUGAAAGAUGAUCCCCAUUUAGUAUUGCCUCAAGGAAGUAGGGUUAUCAAGGCAAAAGGAGAAAAAAAUAAUCACUCUCUUGGUUUUAAAGUAUUAAAGGAGGAGUCUAAUUUUAAGACAAAGAUUUGGGAGGAAAAAAUUGCUAAGUAUUUUACCCCCUGCCCCCCAAGAAAAACGGGUGAAAGCCACUGAAAAAGGGCAAAGGGAGAAAUUUGGAAAUUGAGAGUAGAUGUUGGCUUACAGAGUAGUAUACAAUGCUCCCUUGUUUAGACCUGGAUUGUGAGUGGGAUAGGGUGUGAUGGAGAUGGAGACCCUUACAUUUGAAGAUCCAAGAGUAGAAGGCUGUGUGUCAGAAGCUCUACAAGAGAAAACCCAUCCAUGUUCCCUACCCCACAAUGGCGUGGAUAAAGAAGAAUAGAGACAAAGGAAAUUGACAUCAGAAUUAGACAAGUCCUGAUGAUCAUGUGCCUAUAUCCCCAAGAGAAGCAUAGGGGAUCGGCUUAACUUGAUCCAUGCCUUUGAACAGGUGAGAACAUUAAGAGAGAAAGCUGGCAGGCAUGAGGAGCAUUCUAGAUUGUGACUAAUGUGGUAUUGGCCAUCCAAGCCAAGACCUUAAUAAGGCCUCGAACAUAUGAACAAAUGCAGAGAUAGAUACCAAUAAGUGAAGGUCAUGACUGGUCGAUUGUGCAGUCAGAGAGGAAGGAAAGGAGAGAAGUGGAUACUGUCUCCUCCCAUUGACAUUGCAGCAACAGAAUUCCCAAACCCUGCAAAUUGACUCCAAAGCCAGGGAGGUAGGUGAAUAGGGUUUCAAAAACCCUGAAUGUGAUUGAGUUUUAAAUCUGACAUGACUGAGCAAUCAGACUUUGACAUAGUUUACACCCCAAAAGACUGAGAAUUCAUUAAUGUGAUGUGACUGUAUCUAUCUGGGUAAGUGCAGACUAAUUUUUCUGCUAUUGAGAAGGCAAAAAAAUGAGAAUUCAGAAUAGAAAUUAAGCUCUGCUAUGGGAAAAUAAAGUUAUAAAUUUUCCAUGCUAGAUUUUGACAUCUGUCAAGCCCACAGCAGACUUUAAGAGACAUGUGGAAGCUGAAACACCAGAUACUGUCUGAUUCCAAAUCUGUCCACUUCCACCACAUUCCCAGUGGCCACUAUCUUGGCUCCGUCAUCAUCAUCCCUUUCUCUGUUACAUACUCUUCAUCACAGGGAUCUGGACUUCUUCCUCCCCCCAGGAUCUGGACUGUGUUCUGCAUUCCUUGGGUUUUUUGAAAUUUGUUCAC
This 1552-nucleotide long non-coding RNA is filed under the name Equus caballus (horse). RNAcentral's name for it is "lncRNA (ENSECAG00000053207.1)". Lineage: Eukaryota; Metazoa; Chordata; Mammalia; Perissodactyla; Equidae. The record is from RNAcentral.